RNAcentral lists this ribosomal RNA (1009 nucleotides) under Triticum aestivum (bread wheat). RNAcentral describes it as "partial small subunit ribosomal RNA". Lineage: Eukaryota; Viridiplantae; Streptophyta; Magnoliopsida; Poales; Poaceae. The record is from RNAcentral.
CGACGAAGAGCCCUCCGCCGGUCCUGAACUAUUUCCCUCCGCCGGCCAUGAUCCCUGCCCCUCGGCUGGUUUUGAGUCGCCCUUUAGAAGAUGCAUCGACGCCGCCUCUCCAAGAUCUCACUGCACCUCCGUCCCCUGCCAUGCCUCAACCUCUUCUUAGCCCUGCACAAGUAAGCAACAUAGUACAGCGGCAUCUGCUUCAUGUACUAAUUGUACUCGUAUGUCGUCAUAGUCUUAUUGCCACAACAUCCUCACUUCCUCAUAGCCCUCCACCUGAUGGUUCAACUAGCACUAACUGAAUCAAGGUAACCCUCAUAGUUGUCCUUCUUCAAUUGUACUUUUGAAGCAUCUGGAUCAAGCUUUUUUGUUUGUUGUUUCGUCAGCUGCUGUGACUCCUGCUCGCCCAACAUACAGCCUUGCACGGACUUAUGUGUAAACUUCCAUCCAACACACACACUUGCUUGUAGUAUUCAGAAAAUUUUGUCUUGUACAAAUUCUCAGAUUACAUCAUUGGAGCACCGUUCAGACUAAAUAAAGAUAAUCAGCAAUGCUUUCACGCUGAGUGAUAACACCUCACAAUAUCAAAAUUGCAUUCAGAUUUUUCGUCUCUACAUCACAAGCUCGCACAACAAAUCUGCUAAAUUUGGUUGGAAGGAGCAACAGCCCAUUCCUCACAGGGGAGCUUCGGCGAGGUGGACGCCUACAUUGGCGCCGUUGGUAGCCCCGCUGGCUAUGGCCUGAUACCUUCGUAGCAUCCACCCGGCGGCGGCGCCAUGGUGGACGGCAGCACCGUAGGUUGUCGCGGUGGGGGAUGGCAGCGCCAUCGGGCGUCGCGGUGGAGGCAGCCCCAUCGUCUGUUGUCGCGGUGGGGAACGGCUCGGCUUCACCGUAGGGGGAGGCCUCGUCGUCGGUCAUCGCGGUGGGGGACGACGGCAGCGCCAUGGUCUUCGCGGUAGGGAGCAGCCAUGGAUAAGGCGAGAUAAGAGUUCAGUUUGGGGAAGAAAUUGUG